RNAcentral lists this ribosomal RNA (316 nucleotides) under Abdopus aculeatus. RNAcentral's name for it is "partial 12S ribosomal RNA". The record is from RNAcentral. Lineage: Eukaryota; Metazoa; Mollusca; Cephalopoda; Octopoda; Octopodidae.
UAUAUAUAUAUAUAUAUAUAUUUAUUUAAAACUUAAAAGGUUUGGCGGUUUUACAUAUCCAGUUAGGGGAGUUUGUUAAUUUAUUUGAUAAUCCUCAAUUUAAACUUACUUUUUUUUGAAUAAGUAAUUACGGUUUAUAUAUUGCUGUCGUCAGUUUAUUUUUUGAGAAUUAAAAGAACUAUAAAAUAUUAAGAUUAUUAUGUCAAGUCAUAAUGUAGCUAAUAAAAAAGGUUUAAUGAACUACUAUUAAUAAUAUUUUAAUUAAUCCGGAUAAUAAGAGUUAAAUUUAUUAGAAAGGGGACUUAAUAGUAAAAUA